ACAACUCUAGAGGAAAAGCUGGGCCGGAAAAGUGGGAACCUCUAGGGCGCCGCCCUGUUGCUACUGGUCAAUGUGGCCAGCGCAAUUACUAUUGAAAGAGCUGAAAACAAGUACAGGUCACCGUAUGCUUUGUCAUCUAAAAACGCAUACCUGAGGUUUUAUGAAGGUGGUGGGUUAAUAUUAAGUUUACAGAAAGCGAUCACUAAGUCCGUGACUUAUGUAAAUCACGAACUACGCAUUCAUUUAAUAAAGGAUGACGCGAAUUUCGGUUUCGAAUCUGUUUUUUGGAUGCGUAGUAGUUUCGUACAGUUUAGGUUUGACAUGCGAUCGCGCGUCGACAUCGGACGCUAUGGCACACUCGUGCCUUCUGUGCCACCGAAGCCCCGAAGUGCCCAGGCAUAUACCUUCACAUGUUUCCCUUCAGUAGGAAAUUGCUGGACAGGCGGACCAGCGCACCGGAAUUGUACUGGCGAAGCCACAAGCAACUCAAAGAAUCUGUUUAAUUGUUGCACUUUGAACAAUCAUGCUUCUACAAAGGCCACAGCAGAAAAACAGCCUGAUGCCGAGUAUUUCUGUGCCACGAAGUAAUCAAGAGGCGAGUGCCUAAUGCGGACGAAAUCGAGUGCAUCGAGACUUAGAACGACAGAAAGCUGAGCUAGUUGAUAUGCAAUGGCAAGCCCUUCCGUGUGUUCCAAAGGUAAAAUUUAAGCUCGAAAUUAAAGAAGACAUUUCUAGUCAGAAACAAGCAAAAAUGGUGAAUGCAGAGUAUCAGAAGCCCAAGGUACAGAAAUUAUGAGAAGUGUCGAAUGAUUUUAAGGAAAGAAUGGUAUUUGAAGAUGCAAGAUUCUUUAGUGGAAAUCAAGCAAGUCAGUAUAGGUAGAAUACUCUGAGAAAUUAUGCGAGUAAUGGGAUAGCUCACAAUGGGUCAGGAAAUGCAUUGUUUUUCUGAAAAACUAAAGCUGAUGACUGUAAUAUCAUGAGUCACUUUAGCAUCAUGAGACUGCUGUUUGAUAAAUUCAGAAACAAACCAAAAAGCAAGCCAUGCAAAAAUAAAAAAAAAAACUAUUUAUUGAUGCUCUCUCCACACUGGGAUAAAUAAUAAAUGGAUCACGUCUAAUGUGAACAUAUCAGACACCUUGUGAAACACUAAAGGAAAAAUUCAGUUUCGAGCUAUGGCACUUGCCGCAUAGAUGUGGGGGGCCUUGCACCAAUAGUAAUAGUUACCACUGCAUCUAGAAAUUUAAAGCAUUCAUGCAGACAAGGAUGAUUCUUUAUAUUUUUGGCUACCACUUCAAAUGCCUCCACUAAGUGUUACAAUGCUGCACGCAGCCAUACUAAGGAUCUCACAGCAACACUUGCUGGUAAACAGCAAAAGCAGUCAAAGUGCUGGUGUAUUCUGGACACUGUCUUUGAAAACUUUUAGGCAAGAACAGUACAAGAAACAGACAUAAGAACUGCAUUUAUUUCUAUAAUUCCCCAUUUGAAUGGCCUUUUCUUUUUCCUUCGACAAUGCCUUCGCCUAGCCACAGCAGCUCCCUCAUACAGACUCCGCAAGCCAAGAGGCCGUGGAGGCAAAUGCAGACAGCCAGCACACCUCGAACAGCCACCUUGACUGCGGGUGUGUCACCCUAGUCGCCAAGGAAACAUUUGAGGGAAAGCGACAGGCAAUGUGAACAGCCACUUCUCCAUGUAAACGAUACUCUUUCUCUCGGAUGACUCCUACGUUCGCCACGCCAGCACACUUGUGCACAAAGAUGCCGCGGAGGCACGUGCAGGUCAGAGGCAAGAAGCAGUGGCACUGGUGUCGACAUUCGCCCAAUUUCUUUUUCUUACACUGAGGCAGCCAGCACACCUCGAACAGCCACCUUAACUGCGGGUGUGUUAGUAGAUUCCUGUUGUACAUAUGCUCAUAAUAAACUUCAGUAAACUUUAACUUGAUAAUAAACUUGAAGGCAAAUGG
Long non-coding RNA from Dermacentor andersoni, 1960 nucleotides. RefSeq lists it as uncharacterized. Lineage: Eukaryota; Metazoa; Arthropoda; Arachnida; Ixodida; Ixodidae. The record is from RefSeq and is a predicted model, not a curated record.